UGCUGUGUUGUCAGUGAUGCAUACUGUUGGAUCUGAUUCUAAAUUAUGACACAACAUUUCAUCACUACCACUGAGACAACAGAUA
RNAcentral lists this small nucleolar RNA (85 nucleotides) under Sphenodon punctatus (tuatara). Its description in RNAcentral is "Small nucleolar RNA SNORD70 (ENSSPUG00000004009.1)". It matches the Rfam family "Small nucleolar RNA SNORD70". Rfam says of the family: snoRNA HBII-234 belongs to the C/D family of snoRNAs. It is the human orthologue of the mouse MBII-234 and is predicted to guide 2'O-ribose methylation of the small 18S rRNA on position A512. Lineage: Eukaryota; Metazoa; Chordata; Lepidosauria; Sphenodontia; Sphenodontidae. The record is from Rfam by way of RNAcentral.